This 164-nucleotide ribosomal RNA is filed under the name uncultured bacterium. Its description in RNAcentral is "partial 16S ribosomal RNA". It matches the Rfam family "Bacterial small subunit ribosomal RNA", at positions 355 to 511 of the family's 1533-position model. The record is from RNAcentral.
UAGGGAAUCUUCCACAAUGGGCGCAAGCCUGAUGGAGCAACACCGCGUGAGUGAAGAAGGGUUUCGGCUCGCAAAGCUCUGUUGUUAAAGAAGAACACGUAUGAGAGUAACUGUUCAUACGUUGACGGUAUUUAACCAGAAAGUCACGGCUAACUACGUGCCAA